UCUAUAAAUAGAGAAAAUCUCUAUCUAUGGAUGCAUAGCAAACAAAUCAGAUUGAUAGAAGACAGAAAUAGAGAAAGAGGAAUGAGCUUGUGGGCGUCCCUUCUCCUUGGCAUCUCCCCUUAUUGCUGCCCUCUUCCUCCUUAUCGUGGGCCCAUCUUGGACAUCCCCCUUAUUGGUGUGAGAUGUCACACCAGUAUCUCUCUUUCUUCUUUUGGUU
RNAcentral lists this long non-coding RNA (217 nucleotides) under Elaeis guineensis (African oil palm). Its description in RNAcentral is "long non-coding RNA (EGUI_LNC056896)". Lineage: Eukaryota; Viridiplantae; Streptophyta; Magnoliopsida; Arecales; Arecaceae. The record is from RNAcentral.